GUUCGAGCGUCAGUACAACACUCAAGCCUUGCUUGGUAUUGAGCCAGGUCCGCAAGGGCCGGCUUCAAAAUCAGUGGCGGCGCCAUCUGGCUCUAAGCGUAGUAAUACUCCUCGCUAUUGAGUCCUGGUGGAUGCUGGCCAGCAACCCCCAACUUUCUAAGUUUGACCUCGGAUCAGGUAGGGAUACCCGCUGAACUUAA
Molecule: unclassified non-coding RNA, 200 nt
Filed under: soil metagenome
Description: partial contains internal transcribed spacer 2 and large subunit ribosomal RNA
Source: RNAcentral